UACGUAGGGGGCAAGCGUUGUCCGGAAUCAUUGGGCGUAAAGAGCGUGUAGGCGGCCCGGUAAGUCCGCUGUGAAAGUCCAGGGCUCAACCCUGGGAUGCCGGUGGAUACUGUCGGGCUCGAGUCCGGAAGAGGAGUGUGGAAUUCCUGGUGUAGCGGUGAAAUGCGUAGAUAUCAAGAGGAACACCUGCGGCGAAGGCGGGUUGCUGGGCCGACACUGACGCUGAGGCGCGAAAGCUAGGGGAGCGAACGGG
Molecule: ribosomal RNA, 253 nt
Filed under: uncultured bacterium
Lineage: Bacteria
Description: partial 16S ribosomal RNA
Rfam family: Bacterial small subunit ribosomal RNA
Source: RNAcentral